Molecule: long non-coding RNA, 693 nt
Organism: Malus domestica (apple)
Lineage: Eukaryota; Viridiplantae; Streptophyta; Magnoliopsida; Rosales; Rosaceae
Source: RefSeq, a predicted model, not a curated record
UUGAAAACCUUGAACCCUUCCAUCUUUACCGUAUUCAUCUCUCUUCCAGUAGACGCAUAUCCUCUUCCCAUAGUCCUCAUCUCCUCUAUCUUUCCCUCUGGCUCCAUCUUUCCCGUUUAGGAACCCUGUUGACUUCAUCUCCUCUAUCUUUCCCGUAUCUCCCCUUCCCAUAGUCCUCAUCUCCUCUAUCUCUCCUCUUCGCAACCUUGAUCCCCAAAUCUUGAACCCAGACCUGUCUUCCCUCUCUCUUUCCCGUAUACCUAUCUCUUCCCUCUCGUUCUAAACGACGGGCAGCCACACGAUCGAAACCGACGGGAAUCAACUCCCAAAAUCAAGUUGAUUCAAUCACGCAUUGGUUUGCAACAACCGUACUUGGUUUGCCUCGUAUUCAGUCACACAUUCAGUCACGCAUUUGUUCAAAAGAUAACUCAAGGUUGAUCCAGUAUAAGGGGCAAAAGUUUCUAGCAAAAGUUAGUCUUCACAAGGUAAAAGUCAUUUUCUUCUCAAAAACAGGGGUGCGUGCUGCUCCAUUCAUACGCCAAACUGCUAAAAAUUAUUGGAGUCAUGCUUCUUUUGCAUUCGUGCUAUGGCAAUAGAACUAUGGAAGACAAAUAUGAGGCAUCCUCAGGCAUCUGAGGUCGUCAACAAGGACAUAAUAUCGCACUUUGUUCUUCAGCUAGUUUAUUGCAGAAC